This is a long non-coding RNA of Lutra lutra (Eurasian river otter), 388 nucleotides long. RefSeq lists it as uncharacterized. NCBI's taxonomy places the organism in Eukaryota, Metazoa, Chordata, Mammalia, Carnivora, Mustelidae. The transcript has 3 exons. The record is from RefSeq and is a predicted model, not a curated record.
CACCCUAAUGUCCUUUCCAGAUUUCUACCACCUGCAAGAUGUUACCUAGUUGUGGGCACAGGUUCCUCAAGGUUCCUCAGGCUGCUCAAGAAAAAAGCCAUUACCAAUGGCCUGGCUUUCUAUUACCGAUUGACCAAAACAGAAUCUCCUGGGCUAACUGAUCAUAACCUGCUUCCCAGCUCCACUGCUUGGGCACUCUACGUCUUCAGGUCCUGGUUGUGGAAGGAACAGCCACAUGCCAUGAAUGCUGAUUCAGAGCAUAAAUAGGCUUCCAGGAGACUGAAGACUCUUGCUCCAACCUUGGAAGGACAGACAGAUCCCGUAUGAUUGGUUCCAAUACCAGCUGAAGAAAGAGGAUCAGGGAGAAUGAAUUGCUCUGUACUAACAA